GUCAGUGUGGCUCAGUAGAAAGAGCAUGGGCUUGGGACUCAGAGGUCAUGGGUUUGAAUCCCGGCUCUGUCA
This 72-nucleotide transfer RNA is filed under the name Ornithorhynchus anatinus (platypus). It matches the Rfam family "tRNA". From Rfam's summary of the family: Transfer RNA (tRNA) molecules are approximately 80 nucleotides in length. Their secondary structure includes four short double-helical elements and three loops (D, anti-codon, and T loops). Further hydrogen bonds mediate the characteristic L-shaped molecular structure. tRNAs have two regions of fundamental functional importance: the anti-codon, which is responsible for specific mRNA codon recognition, and the 3' end, to which the tRNAs corresponding amino acid is attached (by aminoacyl-tRNA synthetases). tRNAs cope with the degeneracy of the genetic code in two manners: having more than one tRNA (with a specific anti-codon) for a particular amino acid; and 'wobble' base-pairing, i.e. permitting non-standard base-pairing at the 3rd anti-codon position. The record is from Rfam by way of RNAcentral. Lineage: Eukaryota; Metazoa; Chordata; Mammalia; Monotremata; Ornithorhynchidae.